UCUUACAACCUAUCUUAAUUUUAGGACAAGGCUUUGAAAUUUAAGACAAAGCCUUAUCUGGUCCUAAUAAGAAUUGUAAGGGUCCUAAAGAAAAAGAAUCAGAAGUUCAGAGGAGGUUCUAAGAGAGUGAGAUUAGGUUCUUGAAGAAACUUGAUCGGUACGAGACUAGUCGAGUUCUAGGGGCUAGAACUCUUGAAGCAAGGUGAGAAGGAGCA
RNAcentral lists this long non-coding RNA (215 nucleotides) under Elaeis guineensis (African oil palm). RNAcentral describes it as "long non-coding RNA (EGUI_LNC076716)". The record is from RNAcentral. Lineage: Eukaryota; Viridiplantae; Streptophyta; Magnoliopsida; Arecales; Arecaceae.